UAAGCGACUAAGCGUACACGGUGGAUGCCCUGGCAGUCAGAGGCGAUGAAGGACGUGCUAAUCUGCGAAAAGCGUCGGUAAGGUGAUAUGAACCGUUACAGCCGGCGAUGUCCGAAUGGGGAAACCCAGUGCAAUUCGUUGCACUAUCGUUAACUGAAUACAUAGGUUAACGAGGCGAACCGGGGGAACUGAAACAUCUAAGUACCCCGAGGAAAAGAAAUCAACCGAGAUUCCCCCAGUAGCGGCGAGCGAACGGGGAGCAGCCCAGAGUCUGAAUCAGCUUGUGUGUUAGUGGAACGGUCUGGAAAGUCCGACGGUACAGGGUGAUAGUCCCGUACACCAAAAUGCACAGGUUGUGAACUCGAAGAGUAGGGCGGGACACGUGGUAUCCUGUCUGAAUAUGGGGGGACCAUCCUCCAAGGCUAAAUACUCCUGACUGACCGAUAGUGAACCAGUACCGUGAGGGAAAGGCGAAAAGAACCCCGGCGAGGGGAGUGAAAAAGAACCUGAAACCGUGUACGUACAAGCAGUGGGAGCACCUUCGGGUGUGACUGCGUACCUUUUGUAUAAUGGGUCAGCGACUUAUAUUCUGUAGCAAGGUUAACCGUAUAGGGGAGCCGCAGGGAAACCGAGUCUUAACUGGGCGUUAAGUUGCAGGGUAUAGACCCGAAACCCGGUGAUCUAGCCAUGGGCAGGUUGAAGGUUGGGUAACACUAACUGGAGGACCGAACCGACUAAUGUUGAAAAAUUAGCGGAUGACUUGUGGCUGGGGGUGAAAGGCCAAUCAAACCGGGAGAUAGCUGGUUCUCCCCGAAAGCUAUUUAGGUAGCGCCUCGUGAACUCAUCUUCGGGGGUAGAGCACUGUUUCGGCUAGGGGGUCAUCCCGACUUACCAACCCGAUGCAAACUACGAAUACCGAAGAAUGUUAUCACGGGAGACACACGGCGGGUGCUAACGUCCGUCGUGAAGAGGGAAACAACCCAGACCGCCAGCUAAGGUCCCAAAGUCAUGGUUAAGUGGGAAACGAUGUGGGAAGGCACAGACAGCCAGGAUGUUGGCUUAGAAGCAGCCAUCAUUUAAAGAAAGCGUAAUAGCUCACUGGUCGAGUCGGCCUGCGCGGAAGAUGUAACGGGGCUAAACCAUGCACCGAAGCUGCGGCAGCGACACUAUGUGUUGUUGGGUAGGGGAGCGUUCUGUAAGCCUGCGAAGGUGUGCUGUGAGGCAUGCUGGAGGUAUCAGAAGUGCGAAUGCUGACAUAAGUAACGAUAAAGCGGGUGAAAAGCCCGCUCGCCGGAAGACCAAGGGUUCCUGUCCAACGUUAAUCGGGGCAGGGUGAGUCGACCCCUAAGGCGAGGCCGAAAGGCGUAGUCGAUGGGAAACAGGUUAAUAUUCCUGUACUUGGUGUUACUGCGAAGGGGGGACGGAGAAGGCUAUGUUAGCCGGGCGACGGUUGUCCCGGUUUAAGCAUGUAGGCUGAUUGUCCAGGCAAAUCCGGAUAAUCAAGGCUGAGGUGUGAUGACGAGGCACUACGGUGCUGAAGUAACAAAUGCCCUGCUUCCAGGAAAAGCCUCUAAGCAUCAGGUAACAUCAAAUCGUACCCCAAACCGACACAGGUGGUCAGGUAGAGAAUACCAAGGCGCUUGAGAGAACUCGGGUGAAGGAACUAGGCAAAAUGGUGCCGUAACUUCGGGAGAAGGCACGCUGGUGUGUAGGUGAAGUCCCUGCGGAUGGAGCUGAGACCAGUCGAAGAUACCAGCUGGCUGCAACUGUUUAUUAAAAACACAGCACUGUGCAAACACGAAAGUGGACGUAUACGGUGUGACGCCUGCCCGGUGCCGGAAGGUUAAUUGAUGGGGUUAUCCGUAAGGAGAAGCUCUUGAUCGAAGCCCCGGUAAACGGCGGCCGUAACUAUAACGGUCCUAAGGUAGCGAAAUUCCUUGUCGGGUAAGUUCCGACCUGCACGAAUGGCGUAAUGAUGGCCAGGCUGUCUCCACCCGAGACUCAGUGAAAUUGAACUCGCUGUGAAGAUGCAGUGUACCCGCGGCAAGACGGAAAGACCCCGUGAACCUUUACUAUAGCUUGACACUGAACAUUGAGCCUUGAUGUGUAGGAUAGGUGGGAGGCUUUGAAGCGUGGACGCCAGUCUGCGUGGAGCCAACCUUGAAAUACCACCCUUUAAUGUUUGAUGUUCUAACGUUGGCCCCUGACCGGGGUUGCGGACAGUGUCUGGUGGGUAGUUUGACUGGGGCGGUCUCCUCCCAAAGCGUAACGGAGGAGCACGAAGGUUAGCUAAUCCUGGUCGGACAUCAGGAGGUUAGUGCAAUGGCAUAAGCUAGCUUGACUGCGAGCGUGACGGCGCGAGCAGGUGCGAAAGCAGGUCAUAGUGAUCCGGUGGUUCUGAAUGGAAGGGCCAUCGCUCAACGGAUAAAAGGUACUCCGGGGAUAACAGGCUGAUACCGCCCAAGAGUUCAUAUCGACGGCGGUGUUUGGCACCUCGAUGUCGGCUCAUCACAUCCUGGGGCUGAAGUAGGUCCCAAGGGUAUGGCUGUUCGCCAUUUAAAGUGGUACGCGAGCUGGGUUUAGAACGUCGUGAGACAGUUCGGUCCCUAUCUGCCGUGGGCGCUGGAGAAUUGAGGGGGGCUGCUCCUAGUACGAGAGGACCGGAGUGGACGCAUCACUGGUGUUCGGGUUGUCAUGCCAAUGGCACUGCCCGGUAGCUAAAUGCGGAAGAGAUAAGUGCUGAAAGCAUCUAAGCACGAAACUUGCCCCGAGAUGAGUUCUCCCUGAGACUUUAAGUCUCCUGAAGGAACGUUAAAGACGAUGACGUUGAUAGGCCGGGUGUGUAAGCGCAGCGAUGCGUUGAGCUAACCGGUACUAAUGAACCGUGAGGCUUAACCU
RNAcentral lists this ribosomal RNA (2898 nucleotides) under Klebsiella pneumoniae Kb677. RNAcentral's name for it is "bacterial LSU rRNA". It matches the Rfam family "Bacterial large subunit ribosomal RNA". Lineage: Bacteria; Pseudomonadati; Pseudomonadota; Gammaproteobacteria; Enterobacterales; Enterobacteriaceae. The record is from RNAcentral.